AGUUGAUCAUGGCUCAGGAUGAACGCUAGCUACAGGCUUAACACAUGCAAGUCGAGGGUAACAGGAGGAAAGCUGCUUUCUGCUGACGACCGGCGCACGGGUGAGUAACGCGUAUCCAACCUUCCCCUAGUAGAGGAUAGCCCGGCGAAAGUCGGAUUAAUUCCCUAUGCUGUCCAGAGAGGACAUCUGACCUGGACGAAAGAUUCAUCGCUAUGGGAUGGGGAUGCGUCUGAUUAGGUGCAGGCGGGGUAACGGCCCACCUGGCCGACGAUCAGUAGGGGUUCUGAGAGGAAGGUCCCCCACAUUGGAACUGAGACACGGUCCAAACUCCUACGGGAGGCAGCAGUGAGGAAUAUUGGUCAAUGGACGGAAGUCUGAACCAGCCAAGUAGCGUGCAAGGAAGACCGGCCCUAUGGGUUGUAAACUGUCUUUUAUCGAGGGGAUAAAGUGAGGUAUGUAUACCUUUUUGCAUGUACCUGAUGAAUAAGGACCGGCUAAUUCCGUGCCAGCCGCUGC
RNAcentral lists this ribosomal RNA (516 nucleotides) under uncultured bacterium. RNAcentral's name for it is "bacterial SSU rRNA". It matches the Rfam family "Bacterial small subunit ribosomal RNA", at positions 10 to 518 of the family's 1533-position model. The record is from RNAcentral.